RNAcentral lists this ribosomal RNA (1361 nucleotides) under uncultured bacterium. RNAcentral's name for it is "bacterial SSU rRNA". It matches the Rfam family "Bacterial small subunit ribosomal RNA", at positions 28 to 1381 of the family's 1533-position model. The record is from RNAcentral.
AUUGAACGCUGGCGGUAGGCCUAACACAUGCAAGUCGAGCGGUAGCACAGAGAGCUUGCUCUCGGGUGACGAGCGGCGGACGGGUGAGUAAUGUCUGGGAAACUGCCUGAUGGAGGGGGAUAACUACUGGAAACGGUAGCUAAUACCGCAUAACGUCGCAAGACCAAAGUGGGGGACCUUCGGGCCUCAUGCCAUCAGAUGUGCCCAGAUGGGAUUAGCUGGUAGGUGGGGUAACGGCUCACCUAGGCGACGAUCCCUAGCUGGUCUGAGAGGAUGACCAGCCACACUGGAACUGAGACACGGUCCAGACUCCUACGGGAGGCAGCAGUGGGGAAUAUUGCACAAUGGGCGCAAGCCUGAUGCAGCCAUGCCGCGUGUGUGAAGAAGGCCUUCGGGUUGUAAAGCACUUUCAGCGGGGAGGAAGGCGAUAAGGUUAAUAACCUUGUCGAUUGACGUUACCCGCAGAAGAAGCACCGGCUAACUCCGUGCCAGCAGCCGCGGUAAUACGGAGGGUGCAAGCGUUAAUCGGAAUUACUGGGCGUAAAGCGCACGCAGGCGGUCUGUCAAGUCGGAUGUGAAAUCCCCGGGCUCAACCUGGGAACUGCAUUCGAAACUGGCAGGCUAGAGUCUUGUAGAGGGGGGUAGAAUUCCAGGUGUAGCGGUGAAAUGCGUAGAGAUCUGGAGGAAUACCGGUGGCGAAGGCGGCCCCCUGGACAAAGACUGACGCUCAGGUGCGAAAGCGUGGGGAGCAAACAGGAUUAGAUACCCUGGUAGUCCACGCUGUAAACGAUGUCGAUUUGGAGGUUGUGCCCUUGAGGCGUGGCUUCCGGAGCUAACGCGUUAAAUCGACCGCCUGGGGAGUACGGCCGCAAGGUUAAAACUCAAAUGAAUUGACGGGGGCCCGCACAAGCGGUGGAGCAUGUGGUUUAAUUCGAUGCAACGCGAAGAACCUUACCUGGUCUUGACAUCCACAGAACUUUCCAGAGAUGGAUUGGUGCCUUCGGGAACUGUGAGACAGGUGCUGCAUGGCUGUCGUCAGCUCGUGUUGUGAAAUGUUGGGUUAAGUCCCGCAACGAGCGCAACCCUUAUCCUUUGUUGCCAGCGGUUAGGCCGGGAACUCAAAGGAGACUGCCAGUGAUAAACUGGAGGAAGGUGGGGAUGACGUCAAGUCAUCAUGGCCCUUACGACCAGGGCUACACACGUGCUACAAUGGCAUAUACAAAGAGAAGCGACCUCGCGAGAGCAAGCGGACCUCAUAAAGUAUGUCGUAGUCCGGAUUGGAGUCUGCAACUCGACUCCAUGAAGUCGGAAUCGCUAGUAAUCGUAGAUCAGAAUGCUACGGUGAAUACGUUCCCGGGCCU